Oreochromis aureus is the source of this 839-nucleotide long non-coding RNA. Lineage: Eukaryota; Metazoa; Chordata; Actinopteri; Cichliformes; Cichlidae. The record is from Ensembl.
UAUCAGGCUUCAACCCAUUACAGAAAAUAUUAACUUGGAACAAAAUAAACAACAACCCUCAGCACUGGAGGAAGAAAGCUACCAACCACACCAGUCUGUGAUUGUCAUGUUUCCAUUGUGUGUAACUACAUCACCAAACAGCCCCUAAUUCAGUGACAAGCUUCAGUAUAUAAGAUGACUCACUCACACACUCUGACCAGUUCAUCAACUGGUAACAAACAAGCCUCAGAUCCAGGCUCAGAUUUGGUGCUUUCAGCGUCUGAAGAUGUGUUCGAGUCUCUCCACCAGCCGCCUGAUCCUUCUGCUCUCCCUCGGUGUGGUGAUGCUCAUCAUCGUAUCAGAAGGGGCUGGCCAUGUGGAGAGUUCCUGCUAUCAUGCUGCUGAGUACUCUAAAACUAGGAAAAACAGCCAUGUUGCACCUAACUGGACAAAAAACAUCAUCAGCUGCUUUAAACAAGACCAACAGGGCUGUGCACCUGGCUACCUGGUUAAAACAAGAGGAGGAAAGACAUUUUUUCUCAAACCAGACACGAAGUGGCUGAAAAAGAAAAUAAACGAGAAAACUCUGCAGUGUCCUCCAGUGAUUUCUAAAAGAAGCUGAUGUGGGAACAAACAAAGUUGAAGCAAAGCAGCCACAGAAGCAUUUUCCAGUUCAAACCUUGACAGAAACAUCUGCUGAGAAAUGUUUUAUUAUUUCUGUAAAUUAUUUGUAGAGCUUAAAAAUCUGAUUUUAUGGAAUUGUUUAGUUAAGAUGUUUGUAAAUAUGAACGUUUCAAAUGACCUUAUUCUGUCUUCAAGAUGAGAUUCAUGUUAAAUCAUAUUAAAAUAUUUAAAUCUGA